This is a small nucleolar RNA of Caenorhabditis elegans, 95 nucleotides long. The record is from Ensembl. NCBI's taxonomy places the organism in Eukaryota, Metazoa, Nematoda, Chromadorea, Rhabditida, Rhabditidae.
AAAAAUAUAAAUGUGGAAGUGGGGCGGGACUUAGUAGGCUCCGCCUCUAUCAUGACCUAGUUUCCAACCUCUCAGAAUGGGCGUGGCCUAAAGUU